UACGUAGGGUCCAAGCGUUAUCCGGAAUCACUGGGCGUAAAGAGUGCGUAGGCGGAAGUCUAAGUGAGAUAUGAAAGCGUGUGGCUCAACCAUACAACUGUAUCUCAUACUGGACAUCUAGAGGACGGCAGAGGCAAGUGGAAUUACUGGUGUAGCAGUGAAAUGCGUAGAUAUCAGUAGGAACACCAAUGGCGAAGGCAGCUUGCUGGGCCGACCCUGACGCUAAGGCACGAAAGCGUGGGGAGCGAACAGG
This 253-nucleotide ribosomal RNA is filed under the name uncultured bacterium. RNAcentral describes it as "partial 16S ribosomal RNA". It matches the Rfam family "Bacterial small subunit ribosomal RNA", at positions 524 to 776 of the family's 1533-position model. The record is from RNAcentral.